CAAAUAUUUGUGCUGUUUGGGGUACUGGAAGACUGGAGUUGGGAAACACUGGUGUGUGUGAACCAUCGCUUACCCUUUGGGGUCGACCCUACAGAGAUGUGAGCGCCUACUGCUUGUCCUUUCAUGCAAAAAGUACAGCAUUGUCCUCUACAGACCAGGAAAGCUCUCUUAACAUCGUCCUGAUACGGGGACUGUUGCUGCGGAAGCUGCCCUCACCGCACCCAGUCAGAAUUUGUGUCCGAUGUCUGGCUUCUCCACACACUGUUGAAGAGCGUGAAGUAUUCCAAG
Molecule: long non-coding RNA, 288 nt
Filed under: Oncorhynchus kisutch (coho salmon)
Lineage: Eukaryota; Metazoa; Chordata; Actinopteri; Salmoniformes; Salmonidae
Description: lncRNA (ENSOKIG00005030372.1)
Source: RNAcentral